RNAcentral lists this long non-coding RNA (910 nucleotides) under Panicum hallii. RNAcentral's name for it is "long non-coding RNA (PHAL_LNC000608)". Lineage: Eukaryota; Viridiplantae; Streptophyta; Magnoliopsida; Poales; Poaceae. The record is from RNAcentral.
UAAAAUUGCAUAAAUUGCAUAAAGCACAUGAAUUUGCACAAAUAUACAAACCACGAAGUGCACAGUUCAUAUAAACAAACAAACAGGUGCAUAGUCCAUACAAACUUUAUACUUCACAGAAAUAAAAGAGUGCAUAGUUCAUACAAACCUUAUAGUGCAUGGAAAUAAGAGUACAUAGUCUAUACAAGCCACAUACAAUCUGAACUGAAAAUCAUCCGAUACAAAUCGAAAAUCAACGAUUUACCUCGAUUAUCGACGCCAGGAUCACAGUUCCCUCGCUCCCAGCUGCAGCAUCAUCGCAUAUAUAUUGAUUAUCAGCCUUAAUCGCACAAAAAUCGGUGAACGGAGCUGAAACCGUCCACUCUCUUGCUUUGUGCUUGCGCGCGUGUGAGGAAAGUGACAGGCAGGUUGGGGAAAGUGAGCUGGAACCUGAGGAGAGGGACAGGAGGUUGCUGGGAGAGAGAGUGAUUGUGGUCCUCGUGAGGCUACAGUGUGGUGGAAAAGUUAACGGGUUAACGGGUUAGUGGAUGGUAACAGGUAGUUAGAUAAAAAUAUUUUUUCCUAAGCAAACAAUUAUUGCUUUCAACAUGUGAUAACGUUCUGGAAUCAAGAGAAGGUCUAGUUUUUUAAAAAAUAAGUUCUCUAUUUUUUUAUGUUUUUUUAAAUUUUUGAAUUUUCCAUUGAAAUCCAGCGGAAACUCCAGUCGGUUUACGUUUUCAGUUAGCAUUGGUAACGAUAAAUUUCACCGAUAAUCACGAUUAUCGAGCGGUUUUGUAUUCCAUGCGGCUCACCUGCAUCUAGUGCGAGACUCCCCACUGGCCACGGGUACAUGCUGCAACUUUCAACACUUCCAGUGGACCAGGCCAUGUACAGGAGUGCUGGCUGCAGGUAGGCAAAGGCGCGGCGCUCC